AUUUUGGACAAUGGGGGAAACCCUGAUCCAGCCAUCCCGCGUGUGCGAUGAAGGCCUUCGGGUUGUAAAGCACUUUUGGCAGGGAAGAAACGGCACCGGCUAAUACCGGGUGUCACUGACGGUACCUGCAGAAUAAGCACCGGCUAACUACGUGCCAGCAGCCGCGGUAAUACGUAGGGUGCAAGCGUUAAUCGGAAUUACUGGGCGUAAAGCGUGCGCAGGCGGUUCGGAAAGAAAGAUGUGAAAUCCCAGAGCUUAACUUUGGAACUGCAUUUUUAACUGCCGAGCUAGAGUAUGUCAGAGGGGGGUAGAAUUCCACGUGUAGCAGUGAAAUGCGUAGAGAUGUGGAGGAAUACCGAUGGCGAAGGCAGCCCCCUGGGAUAAUACUGACGCUGAGGCGCGAAAGCGUGGGGAGCAAACAGG
RNAcentral lists this ribosomal RNA (423 nucleotides) under uncultured bacterium. Its description in RNAcentral is "bacterial SSU rRNA". It matches the Rfam family "Bacterial small subunit ribosomal RNA", at positions 361 to 776 of the family's 1533-position model. The record is from RNAcentral.